CCCCAACUCAAACCGACGCCUCCCGUCUCCAUCGAGCAGAAGAUGAAGAAGAACACCAUAUGACGGAGACACGAAGAAGAUCCUAGGGUUUCGAUUCGCCCCCCUUAACUGGAGCGAUCCGAUAGCGCUAGGGCUUCGCGCUGGGCGGACUCGUCCGUCAGAUCUCGCGGUAUCGGUGGGGCGAAUGCUGAUGCACCCGGGGCUCUGUUGAUCUCCACACCGCCGCUUGGAUUGCAGUUGCUUCUGACGGAUCCCAUGGAUAAAAGCAAGAGAUCUGAUCUCCUCGCCGCCGGUCGUAAAAAGCUUCGACAAUUUAGGCAGAAGAAGGAUCAGAAGGGCGGAGGCAAGGAUGGCCAAUCCUCGAGCAAUGGCAUUAAGCUGGAGAAGGAUGUUGAUCCUGGUGAACGAACGAAUAAGAUCUCGGAGCCUGAUCCUGGCACUUUGACUUCGGCUGUUGAUUCUGAUGUAUCGGCGAUGGACUUAUUAGAUCCGUCAUCUGCUGUCCAUCAUGUGGAUUUGCGUGGUGUGGAUUCUGCACAAGUGGUUGACCAAGGAUCUCAGGAUGAAGGGGGAGAUGCUGAACAAGCGCUGAUUGAGCUUCCUGUUGUCGGUGAAGGCUCAUCAUCAGCUUUUGAGAUAGUUCAUGAGGAAGUGAGACCUCCUGGUUUGAAACAACAUGAUGAUGAGAGCUCAGAUGUUGGGAUCUCGGUCAUCGAUGGUGAAACACAUGAGGCUGGUGGAAAUGUUCUUAUGGUUGCUCUGGAUACCGAUAGGGAAAAACAAGGAGCCACCACGGCUGAUCCCGGUUCAGGACUUGAAGCAGCUCAAGAUGUGGUUGGAUUGCCUUAUCUACCAGGUGAAAGAAAUAAGGUUCAAGGAGAUCCUGUCUAUUCGGCUGAGAACUCUGGGAUAGUGGUCUUGGGGAUUGAGAGUGGGAAAGAGGAUCAUGAGAUGGAGAAAAUUGAGCUCCAGACAGAUGUUAUCGCCUCUAAAAAUCUUGAAGUGGAGAGGGCUCCUGAAGCAUAUGGUUUUCCUAUUCUAGCUGAAGAAUCUCAAGUGUUGGGUACCAAUUUUUACCAUGAACAUGAUGAAAUGGCACCUCAAGUGUCAUCAGACAGGAUUAUUUCACUUGAAGAUAGUUCAGAAAUGUCAUUGCCAUGCCAAGACACUUCCAUUAAGAACACUUCAGCAGAGGGACUGACACCUAGACACCAUGUUGUUCCCAACUGGAGCACUUCACCUGGAGAGAAAUCAGAAGUUCCAUACCUAGUUACUAAUGAUAAGGAUAUUUCAGCCAAACAAAAUUUGGAGAUGGCUUCCUCCAACAUUGGUACUUCUGAUGAGAGUAUUCAAAUAGAAGAAUACUCUGAAAAUCCUUCUUCAAGCCAGCUUACAUCUGACAACACUGUUUCCCUUAGAGAAAAUGUGGAGAUUCCUUAUUUACUGGAGACUGACUCUGCCCAAGAAAAGGAAGAAAUUUCAGCUAUGGUUGAUGGAGAAAGCCUAAGAACUACUGUUGAAGAGGUGGUACAGGGUCAGUGCAGGUCAAGUGGGGAGCUUCCAGAAGAAAUUUCUUCAUCACCUCAGGAGAUGGCCGAAGAGCUUAAGGAAGAGGACUAUUAUCCCAUGUCAGGAUCAACAGUCCCAGUUUCCUCAUCAGUGGAAUGCUAUAUGCUAAACAGAGUUGUUCAUGAUGGUGUUGCAGAUGAAUUGGAGAAGUUUACAAGGUAUCUUUACUUAACAAGUGUUGCAAGGGAUUUUCUUCAGUUUCAGCUCGAUGAGCAAACUGAGUUGAAUCAUGAGAUCUGCAAGCGUUCUUCUGUAGAACAUUCCAAACUCCAGGGUUUUCUUCAAGAAACUUACAGAAACAACAUUGUUGUCAAUGAGGAGCUUGCACAGUGCAGGUAUGAGCUCGGAGCUAUGCAUGCUGUAAAGGAGGAACUCGAGAUCAGAUUACUUUCUAAGAAUGAAGAACUUGAAGUACUUAAUAACAAUUUUUUGGAGUUGCAGAGCAACCUCAAAGUGUCCCAACAAGAAUUGGUUCAAUUGUCUUCUGAGUUAGCUGCUUGUAUGUGUUCUCUUGAAACAGCACAGAAAGAAAACGUGAACUUAAUUACAAGCCUCACGUUGGAAACAGAUUUAAGGAAGAAAAUUGAAGAGGAAAAGGAGUUUCUAGCCAGUCAGAAUGCAAACCUCGCUUCUGAUUUGUUGGAACAAAAAGAGAGGCUAUGUACUGCCCUUGAUAAACAAAACCAACUUGAGUGCAUUAUAAAAGAAACAGGGUCAUACUUUGAGCAACUCGCAGAGGAUAACAUGUAUCUGUCAAGCAGUUUAUCUCUCCACAUAGCAAAGCUAAAAGAGGUGGAGGCUGAGCAUUUCGGGUCAGCUCUUCUCUUUAAAGAAGCUGAGUUUCAAGAAAAUGAUUAUCAUGUUGAACGAGUAGCUCCUCAUGAUGUAGCUGAAGAUUUGCAAAGUACAAAGGGGACUUCAGGAGUGUCAUGUCAUGGUCAAAGUCCUUUGCUUCACAAGGUUGAUAAUGAGCAAUCUGAUAGUUUUUCCAUCUUGGGUGUUCUGAAGGGGCAUGUACAGCAUGCCAAAGAUAUACUGCAGAAUCUUGAAAACUCAAUUGAAGGGCUGCACUUGUAUUCAGUGUUGUCGAGCAGGUCAGAUGGGAGAGCUGGAGCAUCUGGAGUAUCAAAACUUAUAAAGGCCUUUGAAUCAAAAGAAAAUACUGAAAUUGCAUCAGAGGAAGUGCAUGUGUCCAGGGGAGGGCUGUCAGAUGAUUCAUAUGCACUAACUAAGGAACAAACAUCCAGUCUUAGAGGUACAAUUGAGCAGAUAGAAUUGGAGAUUGGAAAAGCUGAAGUACAUAUGGGUAAGGAAUGGAAUAGAAGAACAAUAUCAAAAUCCUUUCAGAUGGAUUCUCAAUCUCUAAAGCAGAAAAGUGAUAGUAUUCAGGCAAAAAUUGAUGAGCUUGUAGGCAACAUGUCCAAGAACUCAUGCAGAAUAGAAGACCUGCAAAAUCAGUUUGACGAAAUACAGCAAGAUGUUCAUGAUCAGUCAAUGAAAAUUUAUAGCCAAGUGGAGCUGUUGCAAAAUGAAAUGAAUGAAAUUUUUUUUAUCUCAAAUCAAGAAAGGGACUCAAUUAUGGAUGCUAUUCUUCGGGCCAUUGAAAAAUUAAAUAAAUAUACUGCAUCUCAGAUCUCUGAUAACUGUGAUGUUGGCUCACAUGUCAUGGCUUCGGUUGAUGCUGCCACUAAAUCAUUUGUCAACCUGCAUGAGAAACUAGAUGCCGCCAAUUUGAAAUACAACACUCUCCAUGAUUCAUAUAAUGAACAAAACAAACUAUUAAGUACUGUCCUAGAAAGGAAUGAGUUCUCUGCCAGUCAAAUGCAUAAAAUGUAUGUGAGCCUUUGGGAACAUCUGUACGAAUCACAUAAAAGCAUUGGGACAAUAGAUGCGGGUAUGAAAGCUGAUGAAAUUUUGCAACUUUUACCUGAACGCUAUGAAAUGCUUAUUAUGCAUCUGAGGAAGUUGUUGGACGAGCGGCUUCUCUUCAUAUCUAAAAAUAAUGAGCUAGAGUCAGUGUUGUUGAACAAAAACGAAGAGAUCCAAGAUCUGAACAAGUAUUCUGAUGCUUUGGCAAAAAAGUUGGAGGACCUACAACAUGCCAAAAAUGGACUUGAGGCAAUUUUGAUGAAGAAAGAUGAAGAGUUUGAGGAAUCUAACAAAAAAUGUCUUGAUUUGGCUAGUAAGUUGGAUUGUUGUGGAUCAAAAUUUGAUCUUUGCGCUCCCAAGUUGGCUGAAAGUGCCAAAGUCACUCAGAUGUCUGACAGUAUGAACAAUGACUCAUUUAGUUCCUUAAUGCAGCUAGAGGCAUUAGUUGGAUCUCAUAUUCAGGAACAUGAAGGGACAAUUGAACAACUUAAAUUGUCAAAGAAAUGUUUAUUAGAAGUUAAUAUAUUUCCUGAAAUUUCAUAUGAUAAUUUGUCAUUACCUUUGCCGAUGUUGCUUAAGGUUGACUUUAUACCUAAAGUGAUGGAACUGCAGGCUCAGUUGGACUCAUUGUGUGUGUCAGACAUUAAACAUGAAAUUGACCUUCAAUUUUUCAAGGAGUAUAUAGGUAUGAUGAAGGAAGCUCUUGAAGCAUCUCGCUCAGAAUUACAUUUGAAAGCACGUGAGUUAGAGCAAUCAGAGCAGAGGCUUUCUUAUGUCAGAGAGAAGCUUAGUAUUGCUGUUGCAAAAGGUAAAGGAUUAAUUGUCCAGAGAGAUAGUCUCAAACAUUCUCUAGCGGAAAAGUCAAGCGAGCUUGAAAAGUGUCUUCAUGAAUUGCAGUCCAAAGAAGCAAUGCUUCAAGAAGCUGAGGCCAAGCUCAAGUCUUAUUCAGAAGUGGACCGAAUAGAAGCUCUAGAAUCUGAGCUUUCUUAUAUUCGGAAUUCUGCAACUGCUUUGCGAGAUUCUUUUCUUCUUAAGGACUCUGUUCUUCAGAGGAUUGAAGAAGUCUUGGAAGAUUUGGAUCUUCCUGAAUAUUUCCAUUCUAAAGAUGUAGUAGAGAAAAUUGAAUUGCUGUCCAAAAUGGUUGCUGGAAAUUCUUCUUUUAGAAUGAAUGAUUGGGAUAAAAAAAGUUCUAUUGGGGGAUCACAUUCUGAUGCAGGUUUUGUGGUCAUGGAUUCUUGGAGGGAUGAUUCUCAGGCAAUUUCAAAUCCGGAAUUUGAUGAGUUGAAAAGCAAAUAUGAGCAGCUUGAAAGAAAGUUUUAUGGUUUGGCUGAGCACAAUGAUAUGCUAGAACAGUCCUUAGUUGAGAGAAAUAGCCUUGUCCAGAAAUGGGAAGAGAUGCUGGAUAAAAUUGAUGUGCCCCCACAAUUGAGUAUAUUGGACCCAGAAGAUAAGAUUGAGUGGUUAGGAAAAACACUUUCUGAGACCCAGGAUGAAAGAGAUGCAUUGCAAAUGAAAAUCAAGAACCUUGAGGCUUCUUCUGAUAUGCUUGUUGUGGACUUAGAAGAGUCAUACAAGAAGUUAUCUGAAGUCAGUGCAGAGGUUGUAGCUAUUGAAUCUGAAAAAGAUUUUCUUUCUGAGAGUUUGAGUAAACUAAAUUUCGAAUAUCUUGGACUUUCCGAGAAAGUUGUACAACAUGAUAUUGACAGUGAUAAUUUUCAACGAGAAAUAGAUUUCCUGCAGAAAAAGUUGGCUGAGAAGAUUCAAGGGUGUGAUAUGGAGAAAGAGAUUUGGGGACUGAUCAAUCUGGUUCGUAAUGCAUUUUAUGAAUCUGAUAUGUCUGUAGCUCUCUCUGAUGGUAAUGCAAUCAAGUGCUUGGAAGAAUUAGUGAGUAAGCUUGUAGAUGAAUAUACAAACCUCACAUCAGAGAAAGUUUUGCCCAAAGAUGCUGAGGAGCUUGCUUCUAAUAGAAGCACUUUGGCCAUUGGUGACAGUGUAACAGGAGAUGUUCUACAUGAUAAAGAGCAGGAAUUAAUCAAUAUGAGAGUAGAACUUGAUAAGGCUAGCUCUCAUGUGGAUUUGGUGAAAAAUGAAAGGGAUGAAGCCAUUGAUAGGUACCAUUCUUUGAUGUUGGAAAUAGAGGCAAUAAGUAGACAACAGAAAUUAUUGCAGGAAGAGAUGACUGCUGAGAUGGAAAAGAACAAGUCCUUAUUAUUGCAGUUAGAUAUGAUGCACAAAGAAAAGAAUGCUUUGCAGGAGCAGCUUACUCAGGAGGAGGAGAAGUCUGCUUCCACUAGAGAGAAGCUAAACAUUGCUGUUAGAAAAGGGAAGGGACUAGUACAGCAGAGAGAUGGCCUGAAACAAGAAAUCGAGGAGAUGAAUACUAUGAUAGCACAUUUAAAAUCUGAGAAUAAUCAGCGAGUAGAAGCAUUUGAAUCUGAGAAAAAAAUAUUAGUGAAUCAAUUGGCAGAGGCUGAACAGAACUUGAAAAUUAGUAACCAGACACUCAGUAGAUUGUUAAGGGCUUUAGAUGGUAUAGAUGUUGGCACUGAAAUUAAUAACACUGAUCCUCUUCAGAAGUUGGAAGAAAUAAGGAAAAUAAAUAUCGAGUUGCAUUCAUCCUUAAUUUCCGCAGAACAAGAAGCAAAGAAAUCUAAACGAGCAGCUGAACUGCUUCUGGCUGAGUUGAAUGAAGUUCAAGAGAGGGCUGAUAUCCUUCAGGAGGAACUUGGGAGGGCAGAAGCUGCACUUUUUGAGGCCUCUAGACAGAAAGAUGAUGCUGAAUCUGCAAGAGCUGUUGCGCUCCGUCAUCUUGAGGAAAAUGAUUUGCUGCAUUCUGAGGAAAGGAAGCAGCAAAUUGACAAUCUGGUUGAGUUAAAUUCUGGCAUUGGUCAGAUAAAGAAAGUCUGCUUUGAAUUUUCUGAUCUUCUUAUUAAUACUUUUACAAGGCAUGCUGACCUCUUAAGCUAUAUUGGGACCUUUGUGGAAUCUAUUGAGAAACAAUUAAACUGCGAAAUCGUGACUGAUCUUCCAUCUGAUUGUCUGUUUCAUGAGGAAAAUUUAAAUUCCCAUCAUCCUGUUUCAGAACUUCAGUUGUAUGAGCUGUCUGAGGAACAGUCGGUAGCUGAAAAUAUUGGUUUUUCCAUUCAAUAUGUUCUUGAAUGUGUAAGUGAGUGUAAUGACUUGAAGAGAAAAAUUCACAAACACUUCUUUUCAUUUGACCAACAAGCAAGUCAUCUGUUGAAAAUCAUGGAGGCUGUUGAAAGGAAGUUCUCUUCACAAAAGGAGGAAUCUGAUUCUUUAAAAAGGGCCAUUUCUGAACUUGAGUUGUCAAUUAGGGGCAAAGAGAAUGAAAUUUGUGUGAUAAAUAGAAAUUUAUCCUUACUCUACCAAGCAUGUAGCGAUUUGAUCACUGAUAUUGAGAAUGGAAAUUCCCAAAUAGCUGAGAAUAAUCUAGCCCUUGUAGGGCAAUCUGUGACAAGAUCUAGGCAAUCACCAAGUGAAAUUGGCAGACAAGAUAUAGGAAAUCACCAAAUUCUCACAGAUGACUGUAUCAGAUCAUUGGUUGACAAGUUAUUCUUGAUUGUUAAGGGCACUAGAAAUGAUGAAACAACAGAACUGAAAGCUAUGAUCUCAGAAUUACAAAGAGAACUUGGGGAAAGGGAUGUUCAUACAAGUAGAAUUGCUGAAGAGCUUGUAUCUCAGAUAAGGAAUGCUGAAGCAGUUGCAAAGAGAUCCAUGACAGAACUUGAUUCUGCAAAAACUACAAUUUGUAGUUUAGAGAAGCAGGUUGAAUCAAUGGAGAAUGAUAACAGAUUAUUAGAGUCAAGAGUAGCUGAGCUAAAAGAUUUGGAGGCUUCAAUAAAUGGACUACAUGAAAGGAUUCAUUCCUUAAAUGAUUCUUUAACUGUGAAAGAUCAAGAAAUUGAAGCACUCAUGGAAGCACUUGAUGAAGAAGAGGCACAAGUGGAAGACCUGGAAAAAAGGAACAAGGAGCUAAAAAACAUGGUAGAAGAAAAGAGUCUUACCUUGGAGAAUCUUGAAGCUUCUCAUGAGAAGACUCUAGCAAAGCUCUCGACAACUGUCACCAAGUUUGAUGAGUUGUAUAAUUUGUCAGAAAGCCUUGUUGCUGAGGUGGAAAACCUUCAGUCACAAUUGCAAAGUCAAGAAUCAGAGGUUUCAUUCUUGCGUCAGGAGGUAACUAGGUGCACCAAUGAACUUCUGGCAUCACAAGAGAUUAACAAAAAGCAUUCAUCUGAAGUUCAUGAGUUGCUAAAGUGGUUUGAUAUGAUGAUUUCUCGUUUCGGAUCGUCCAAUCUUCACAUGAAUGGUGAAGACAGCCAGAUUAGGUUGUACACUGAUAUAUUGGACAAGUCAAUAGCAUCUUUUAUGGCUGAAUUAGAUGAUUUGCGCAUGAAAGUUAGUCAACAAACCUGUAGGACCUUGCCAGGGCCUUCAGAAGUUGAACAGAUGAAAAAUGAAUCAGCAUCAGCGGGUAUUGUUACACAUAUGCGCAGCGGACGCAAAUUUAAUAACGACCAAAUCGCUAUCGCCAUAGACACAGAAAAAGAUGACCAUGUUAUAGACGAUGAGGAUGAUGAUAAAGCUCAUGGCUUCAAAUCACUGACGAUGUCACGCAUCAUCCCGAGAGUUUCAAGGCCUAUAACUGACAAGAUUGAUGGGAUGUGGGUAUCAGGGGAGCGGCUGCUAAUGAGACAGCCUACAUUACGCCUUGGGGUAUUAAUGUAUUGGGUUGCAUUGCACGCAUUACUUGCUAGUCUCAUUUGAUGUAAAUCUCACAUGUGGUGGCCCCGUCAAGGCAAAACGCAAUGGUUUGGAAGAACUGUGUUACCAACUUGGAUCCAAGUUCCUUGAGGCACAGGUUGGGAGAGAUUCAGAAGAACACAGAUCCAGACGAACACAGAACCUGAUUGUUGAUACUUGAGAACUAGGUGGCAGCCCCGUUAGUACAAACACAAUGGUUGGAAGAACUGGGUGCGAGCAACUUGAAUCCAAAUUCCUUGAGGCACAAGUUGGGAGAGAUUCAGAAGAACACAGAUCCGAGAUCCAGGUGAACUUUCCCUUAAUGCAAGAUAAGAUACCUUGGAUUAUACUUGCAUGGCAAAUCAUUUGUCCUCCGAUGCACCGACAUUACCUGUGCGAUGUGAUUCUUUUAUUACACAUCAGACACUUGGGUCACCAUACCGAUCAUUUUAGCCAUGCAGUCAGCUGUGGUCUCUUCUCCAGCUUUUGCUUAGGCUGAAUACAAUAA
Molecule: RNA transcript, 8707 nt
Organism: Musa acuminata subsp. malaccensis (wild Malaysian banana)
Lineage: Eukaryota; Viridiplantae; Streptophyta; Magnoliopsida; Zingiberales; Musaceae
Source: RefSeq, a predicted model, not a curated record